RNAcentral lists this ribosomal RNA (443 nucleotides) under uncultured Bradyrhizobiaceae bacterium. RNAcentral's name for it is "bacterial SSU rRNA". It matches the Rfam family "Bacterial small subunit ribosomal RNA", at positions 337 to 797 of the family's 1533-position model. Lineage: Bacteria; Pseudomonadati; Pseudomonadota; Alphaproteobacteria; Hyphomicrobiales; Nitrobacteraceae. The record is from RNAcentral.
GCCUACGGGGGGCUGCAGUGGGGAAUAUUGGACAAUGGGCGCAAGCCUGAUCCAGCCAUGCCGCGUGAGUGAUGAAGGCCCUAGGGUUGUAAAGCUCUUUUGUGCGGGAAGAUAAUGACGGUACCGCAAGAAUAAGCCCCGGCUAACUUCGUGCCAGCAGCCGCGGUAAUACGAAGGGGGCUAGCGUUGCUCGGAAUCACUGGGCGUAAAGGGUGCGUAGGCGGGAUUUUAAGUCAGAGGUGAAAGCCUGGAGCUCAACUCCAGAACUGCCUUUGAUACUGGAAUUCUUGAGUUCGGGAGAGGUGAGCGGAACUGCGAGUGUAGAGGUGAAAUUCGUAGAUAUUCGCAAGAACACCAGUGGCGAAGGCGGCUCACUGGCCCGAUACUGACGCUGAGGCACGAAAGCGUGGGUAGCAAACAGGAUUAGAUACCCCGGUAGUCGG